CCUACGGGUGGCAGCAGUAGGGAAUCUUCGGCAAUGGGCGAAAGCCUGACGGAGCAACGCCGCGUGAGUGAUGAAGGUCUUCGGAUCGUAAAACUCUGUUAUCAGGGAAGAACAAAUGUGUAAGUAACUGUGCACAUCUUGACGGUACCUGAUCAGAAAGCCACGGCUAACUACGUGCCAGCAGCCGCGGUAAUACGUAGGUGGCAAGCGUUAUCCGGAAUUAUUGGGCGUAAAGCGCGCGUAGGCGGUUUUUUAAGUCUGAUGUGAAAGCCCACGGCUCAACCGUGGAGGGUCAUUGGAAACUGGAAAACUUGAGUGCAGGAGAGGAAAGUGGAAUUCCAUGUGUAGCGGUGAAAUGCGCAGAGAUAUGGAGGAACACCAGUGGCGAAGGCGGCUCUCUGGUCUGUAACUGACGCUGAGGCGCGAAAGCGUGGGGAGCAAACAGGAUUAGAUACCCGGGUAGUC
RNAcentral lists this ribosomal RNA (465 nucleotides) under uncultured bacterium. RNAcentral describes it as "bacterial SSU rRNA". It matches the Rfam family "Bacterial small subunit ribosomal RNA", at positions 338 to 795 of the family's 1533-position model. The record is from RNAcentral.